UACGUAGGGUGCAAGCGUUGUCCGGAAUCAUUGGGCGUAAAGGGCUCGUAGGCGGCCAACUAAGUCAGACGUGAAAUCCCUCGGCUUAACCGGGGAACUGCAUCUGAUACUGGAUGGCUUGAGAUUGGGAGAGGGAUGCGGAAUUCCAGGUGUAGCGGUGAAAUGCGUAGAUAUCUGGAGGAACACCGGUGGCGAAGGCGGCAUCCUGGACCAACACUGACGCUGAGGAGCGAAAGCCAGGGGAGCAAACGGG
Molecule: ribosomal RNA, 253 nt
Filed under: uncultured bacterium
Lineage: Bacteria
Description: partial 16S ribosomal RNA
Rfam family: Bacterial small subunit ribosomal RNA
Source: RNAcentral